Long non-coding RNA from Colossoma macropomum (tambaqui), 1096 nucleotides. RefSeq lists it as uncharacterized. Lineage: Eukaryota; Metazoa; Chordata; Actinopteri; Characiformes; Serrasalmidae. The record is from RefSeq and is a predicted model, not a curated record. The transcript is spliced from 2 exons.
UUAUGCCUUCAAAUACCAUGUCAUGCACAACACUAUCCUGAACAGUAUUCUAAUCUUAUUUCAUCAAAACAGAAACAUGAGACUAAAUUGUUUAAAUGACACCUUGAAUCAAAUAAUGAGAAUAAAUUGUUUACACAAUGCCCUGACUCAAAUAUUUUUGACAAACAGACCUGUAAUGUCAUGUCCUGCACAUGUUUCUGUUGCAGUUCUCUCUCUUUCUGCCUCAGUGCAUCCUCCACUGCUUUGGACAGAUUGCUGUCUGCCUCUCGCUGCAGAGCCACUCUCUGGGCAUCAAGCCUUGCCUCCAACUGCUCCAUGGAGAAAAUCUGAGCUGCUGACUCUUGGUAAUCUGUCUGAGACGAGCCCUCCUGGGUGUCUGCAGCUUGGGCUUUUUGACUCUCCUUCAUAGCUUCCUCUAGUCUGAGUUCCCAGUUCUUCUCCAGCUAUCUCUGCUUGGCUGAGGUCAGUUGCUUGGCGACCUGCAUCUGGACCUCUGUCUCCUUCUCUUCAGUCCACUGAGCUUCAAGCUGGGUAACAGUCUCCUGGUGCUGAGAGAGCAACUCAGCUUUCAACCUCUCCAAAGCCAUCUCAGUCUCUUCUCUUCUCCUUAGCUAGACAGAAGAGAGACAGAAUAAACAGAUGAACAGAUAAAUAUAUAUAAACACAAUAAUGUAAGAAAAACUGUUUAAGAAAAAAGUGGAACAAAUAACACAAAGCACAUUCUAACAUCUCUACAUCUGAAAAUCAUUUCUGAACUAACGUGCCAUUUAGGAAGAGAUACAGUACACAUUUAAUGUGAUUAUUUGGUGCAGGAUUGUGUAAAAUAAGUUACCUCUUUCUCUCUUAGUUUCUUCUCUUCCACUAUCCUGCUCUGAAGGUUUUCUUCAAGUUUGUCCUUUUCCUUGCAAACAGAAAUGUAACAUUCCUGCACUGCUAAGACCUCUUGACUGAGUUCAGCCAAUUUUGACCUAAGGCAAAGGGACACAAGAGACUGUUUAUAUAACAAACCUUAAGGAGAACAAUUAAUAUUGUAAUCGGCUCUGAACAAGUAGAUGACUUCUAAAGAAUAAAGAGUACUGAGAUGUACUGCAUAUAA